RNAcentral lists this microRNA precursor (206 nucleotides) under Oryza barthii. RNAcentral's name for it is "MIR812 microRNA precursor family". It matches the Rfam family "MIR812 microRNA precursor family". Lineage: Eukaryota; Viridiplantae; Streptophyta; Magnoliopsida; Poales; Poaceae. The record is from Rfam by way of RNAcentral.
AAAAAGGCAAACUACGGGUUUGCGUGCCAACGUUUGACCGUCCGUCUUAUAUGAAAUUUUUUUAUAAUUAGUAUUUUCAUUGUUGUUAGAUGAUAAAACAUGAUGAAUACUUUAUGUGUGACUUAUCUUUUUAAUUUUUUUUAUAAUUUUUUUAAAUAAGACGGACGGUCAAAUAUUGGACACGGAAACUAAGGUUUGUCUUUUUU